Long non-coding RNA from Daucus carota subsp. sativus, 1498 nucleotides. RefSeq lists it as uncharacterized. The transcript is spliced from 4 exons. NCBI's taxonomy places the organism in Eukaryota, Viridiplantae, Streptophyta, Magnoliopsida, Apiales, Apiaceae. The record is from RefSeq and is a predicted model, not a curated record.
UGAUUGUUUUGGUCAAUUUUGUUUAUUAUUUUUAGGGUUUUGAUUAUUUGUUGUGUGUGCUUUGUAAUUUGAUUUGGGUUGUGUGAAAAUUAGCUUUCUUGAUCUUGAUACUUGAGGGUUUUGUUUAAUAUGAUCAAAUUGAUUAAAGUGCUUUGUGAUAGGUUGAACUUUUGGCCGUUAGGAGAUUAGGAAUUUGAUAUAGUUUUUGUUAACUUUCGUGUAUUGAUUUGAUUGUUAGGAGCUCUCAGCGAAUUAGGUAAUUUCAAAUUAAUAACAAGAUUCAAUCUGACACUCUAAUUUAAUAUAAUAAAUUAACUAAUUAGAUAAAUUUGGAUAAAAUUAAUGGAUGAUCUCGGAUAGCUUUGCUGCUGAGAUAAAGUUGUCUGACAAGUUUUUUUUCCCACCAAAACCAUCAUUCUCGCAUAUUGAAAUUGUAUCUUUCGUUUUGCUUGGUUCCACAUUCGAAUAUGGUUCACAGUUUAUAAAUUAUGCAAUUUCGCGUCAAGUUCAAGACUUAAAUGUGCAUAUUCCAGAAUUUGUUAUGGAUUUAUCCACCUUUAGUUCUACUUCCAUGAAGAAACUUAAGAUGAGUCUUGAUUUUUGUAAGGUGUUUAGAUUCUCGGAUUGUUGGGAUUUGCCUGCUUUAACAACUCUACGCUUGAUACUCCCUUCAUUAAGCCUUGGCGGAAUAAGUAUUCCUGAAUUAUAGUUGAUCUGUUUGCCUUCUUUACAGACUCUGGUUCUCGAUUGUAUUGAGUUACCAAAUUCUCUUGAUUGCUUGCUUCAGUAACUCUCUAUCUGGCAAGGUUUAGGGUAGUGCAAAGAUUCUUACUCUCGACUUGGAGACUAUUGAGGUGCCACAAGGAUGUAAAGAAACAAAUUUUGACAACUGACCUCAAAUGCUACUUGCUUGGUCGCUCUCCAAAGCUACUAUUGUCACUAAAUUUCCUCAGGCAGCUAGGAAGUCUGCACCAACCACUGGAGAAUGAAGAUGCCCCACAGAUACCGUCCUGGAACUCUUGCCCUGCGGUAUAUAUUUGUUUAUAACUUCAUAUGCAUCCAUCAAAUACAGUGGAAUAAACCUUUCGGAGGUUUACUUAUGUUUUACACGUUUCUACCUAGACAUCUAUAAAUAUUAAAAUACUGUGCCCUGUCAUGUAUAUAUGUGAUAUAAAGAAGGAUCAUCCCCGCUCGUGAAUUGUGAUGAUUCUGUAAGUGUGGCCUCCCCCGUCGAGUUCUACGUGGCGGUAUGAUUUUUUAAGGAGUCAGUGGGAGCCUGAGAGGUUUUGUCGCCAAUGUUGUGGCCUCGUGGGGGUUUUUCCUAAAAGAAUUACACUUAUUUCUGUUAUUAGUAUUAGUCAUAUCUCUUCUGAAAUAAUCUUAAUGUAAACAAGAGGUUUUUUGUUUGAGGUGUUUUGGACAUUCUUUCUUUUGUUAGAUAAAAAACUGCUUAUGGCUUCUGCAAACAUUGCAUUUACAUUUUUAUUUUAGCAGAGCA